UACCAUGCAAGUCGAGCGGGGGAAGGUAGCUUGCUACUGGACCUAGCGGCGGACGGGUGAGUAAUGCUUAGGAAUCUGCCUAUUAGUGGGGGACAACAUCUCGAAAGGGAUGCUAAUACCGCAUACGUCCUACGGGAGAAAGCAGGGGAUCUUCGGACCUUGCGCUAAUAGAUGAGCCUAAGUCGGAUUAGCUAGUUGGUGGGGUAAAGGCCUACCAAGGCGACGAUCUGUAGCGGGUCUGAGAGGAUGAUCCGCCACACUGGGACUGAGACACGGCCCAGACUCCUACGGGAGGCAGCAGUGGGGAAUAUUGGACAAUGGGCGCAAGCCUGAUCCAGCCAUGCCGCGUGUGUGAAGAAGGCCUUAUGGUUGUAAAGCACUUUAAGCGAGGAGGAGGCUACUUUAGAUAAUACCUAGAGAUAGUGGACGUUACUCGCAGAAUAAGCACCGGCUAACUCUGUGCCAGCAGCCGCGGUAAUACAGAGGGUGCAAGCGUUAAUCGGAUUUACUGGGCGUAAAGCGCGCGUAGGCGGCUAAUUAAGUCAAAUGUGAAAUCCCCGAGCUUAACUUGGGAAUUGCAUUCGAUACUGGUUAGCUAGAGUGUGGGAGAGGAUGGUAGAAUUCCAGGUGUAGCGGUGAAAUGCGUAGAGAUCUGGAGGAAUACCGAUGGCGAAGGCAGCCAUCUGGCCUAACACUGACGCUGAGGUGCGAAAGCAUGGGGAGCAAACAGGAUUAGAUACCCUGGUAGUCCAUGCCGUAAACGAUGUCUACUAGCCGUUGGGGCCUUUGAGGCUUUAGUGGCGCAGCUAACGCGAUAAGUAGACCGCCUGGGGAGUACGGUCGCAAGACUAAAACUCAAAUGAAUUGACGGGGGCCCGCACAAGCGGUGGAGCAUGUGGUUUAAUUCGAUGCAACGCGAAGAACCUUACCUGGCCUUGACAUAGUAAGAACUUUCCAGAGAUGGAUUGGUGCCUUCGGGAACUUACAUACAGGUGCUGCAUGGCUG
This 1006-nucleotide ribosomal RNA is filed under the name Acinetobacter nosocomialis. Its description in RNAcentral is "bacterial SSU rRNA". It matches the Rfam family "Bacterial small subunit ribosomal RNA", at positions 52 to 1051 of the family's 1533-position model. Lineage: Bacteria; Pseudomonadati; Pseudomonadota; Gammaproteobacteria; Moraxellales; Moraxellaceae. The record is from RNAcentral.